Molecule: long non-coding RNA, 850 nt
Organism: Zingiber officinale
Lineage: Eukaryota; Viridiplantae; Streptophyta; Magnoliopsida; Zingiberales; Zingiberaceae
Exons: 3
Source: RefSeq, a predicted model, not a curated record
AGCUUGAACACCCCAAAGCUCGGUUCGGCUCGGCUCAUUUGCAACCCUAAUUAGCUCUCCAUAACUGAAAUUAAAUGCACAGCAAGGACUCUAGAAAGACAAGAGAUGUCUUCUUUCCACCAAAUAUUGACACUUACACAGUUUAAUUUGCUUUCGGUCGGUGCAUGGGACUCACAGGGGCCCUUUUGCUUCCCUUUAAUUACUCUCUUACCCAAUGCAGCUAGCAAUUCCAAAUGGGUAAGGUUUGUAGUGAAAGUAUUGCUCUUUAAACGUACAUGACAUACCCUGGAUUGGGAGAACCAAACGCUAGAUAGAUAUCGUAGCUUCUUUUGAGCAAAGUUGUGCAUUGAUGACAGCAGGAGCUGGGUCUGAGUUGGUCAUAGCUUUGGGUGCUGCUCCAUUAAUUUAAGAUGCCAGGUUGCUUCGGUAUAUAUUUCUCUUAAUCCUUCAGGUUUGGUCGUCUCUUUAAGCUCUGGUGCACGCAGUCGAAGAUGAAGCACUGCUCCAGCCUUGGCAAUCUACAGCAGGAAGAGUUAUGGCACGCUUGUGCUGGGCCGCUGGUGUCCUUGCCUGCUGUUGGAAGUAGAGUGGUGUAUUUUCCACAGGGUCAUAUGGAACAAGUGAUCAGCACAUAGAUCAUAAUAUCGAUUACUAAAACAUAUCUACUUGAUUUAAAAUUAGAUUAACACAAUGCCAGGUAACUGCAUCAACCAAUGAAGAAAUUGCUCCUUUUUCCAGCUUCCCUUGCUUGUCUUCUCAGCUUAUUUGCCACCUGCACAAUGUCACAAUGCAUGCUGAUGAAGAGACAGACGAAGUUUAUGCCCAGAUGACGUUGCAAACAAUAUGCCUG